Molecule: long non-coding RNA, 234 nt
Organism: Triticum aestivum (bread wheat)
Lineage: Eukaryota; Viridiplantae; Streptophyta; Magnoliopsida; Poales; Poaceae
Exons: 3
Source: RefSeq, a predicted model, not a curated record
GAGGCCAGAGGCUGCUCACCAUAUACAUCACCAUCCAUAGCCGCCCUCGUCCGCCAAGAAGCUGAGGAGGGAGGCUGACCUCCAGUGACCACUCUGCACCGCUCUGGACGACACCCUCCCCCACCAGAGAGAAAGUGCAAAAGCUAUGGGCAAUCCUAUAUGACUGGCGCCAUCAAGGUUGUUGAAGGGAGAUGGGGCUCUUCAGGCCCCUUUGGUGCAAAAGCACAAGCAACA